Molecule: long non-coding RNA, 6772 nt
Organism: Sarcophilus harrisii (Tasmanian devil)
Lineage: Eukaryota; Metazoa; Chordata; Mammalia; Dasyuromorphia; Dasyuridae
Exons: 2
Source: RefSeq, a predicted model, not a curated record
AUUCUGUGUGCUUGUGAUUCUUAGAUUGUUACACUCCCCAAAGAAUCAAAGUUGCAUGUCAUAGACUUGGAGAACUAUAGAUGUAUGGAUGAGAGAUGCUGCAAAGGUAGAAACAACUGGCCUUGGCAGCGGAUUGGAUGUGGAGUGAGGAGAAAGAAGGAUGAGUCAAGGUUGACUCCUAGAUUGUGAGCCUCGAAGAUAUCAACAUUAAGAGGAGAAACAUAUCAUCAAAAAAGGAGAUAGUCCAAACAUGAAAUCCUCCAUGGAGUCUAUAUGGAAGAAGAGAGGAAAGGAGUACGUUGGAUGAGAAGAUGUGAUUGUAUUAUGCUUAGCACCAAAGGGAAUGGUUGCAUGGAUGAAAUUGUGGCCCCAUAAAACAUUAAGGUAGUAAGGUAAGAAUUGUUAGUUUAUUAUUACCAAUAACAACAGUAAGAAUAUAUGUCUCUCUUUUAGAAAUCAAGGACUGGAAGGAACUGAGAAUCAAAGUUGGAAUGAUGGAAGAGUUCAAGGUGUUUGAGACACACUGGGCUGGAGGAACGAAAGCUCUUCAUUAUAGCAUUUCUGCUUAUUGUUGUUGCAAUUUUGGGUGGUGGGAAGCAAGUCGCUCUUCUUCCAGGAUAAUUGAUUACUUUCUUACUUUGGAACAUCCCUGUAUAUAGCAGGUAACACAGAAUCAUCAAGUCACUGAGUGUCGGAACUGGAAGAGAUCAUCAGGUCAUAGCUCUAAACCUGAAAGUUGUCGUGAAAGUUGUCUAGUCAAAUGUCUGCCUUUUACAGGGGAGGAAACUGAGACCUAGAGAGGGGAAGCCACUUGUCCAAGUGGCCUACAGCAAGCAUCAGGACAUCAAAGGCAUUUGGAGUUAGCCCUAACCAGCCCUCAGAAUCUGAAAUGUAAGGACAACCUGGAUCCCUGCUGGCCUCUUGUGACUGUGCUAACAAUGACCUCAGGGUCUCUGUUGCCAUCUCCCUCCACCUCUCUUCAUCGCUCACCAUUGCCCUCCUCCCUACAUCUACUGUAUUUGUCUCAGGGCCCUUAUUCCCCGUCAUGCCUUCAACAACCACAGGUACCAGGAGGGCCUGACUCUAAGGCACUUUCUGCUAUGGAGCAUUCACUCUGCCUGAAUCCCUCCCAUUCAUAGAAAGGUUGAGUUGAGGUUCUAGAGCAAGGCUUCUUAAACUUUUUCUACUCACAACUCCUUUCCUCCAGAACAAGAUUUACGUGACCCUGGGUAUCUAGAUAAAUAAAGUAGGUAUACAAAUAAAACAUUUACUGAUAACAAAUCAUAAUUCCGUGACCCCCAUAUUCAGGUUCAAGAUCCCAUAUGGGGUCGUGAACCACAGUUUAAGAAGCUUUGCUUUAGACUACAUGUGGGGCAAGAAAGAAUAAUUUCCAUUUUAAGGGAUAUGAACAUGGUAGGAUAGACAGCUUCUAGUUCCCUGGUACCUAUUUCUAUUUCAUAUCCAGCUAAUCUAUGAAUAACUAAUGAGAGGUUUUUAUGUUCCCCUCCAUGCUUUUAUGGUCAUUUAACAGUUUUAAAUUUACUAGUUCCAUUCACCAACCACUUAAAUGUCUUAGAGUCCUAAUUUGUGAAAGGGACUUUGGAAGGAAGCUUAGAGGUCAUUCAUGUACUCCGGUGGCAUCAAGCUCAACUAUAAACGGGACCACUAAAGGGCACGUAAAGAUCUCUGCAGGCACAUAUUGUCUUAGGAAAUCACAUACUGACAUCAUCUAUGUUCUGUUGUACAAAGCAGAAUUGCAGUAGCUCAAAAGAAAUACGGGAUGCCCAGAGUUGGAGAAGCCCCGCCAAAUGUUCACAUGGACUAUUUGUGCCUGACCUGUGGCAGAGCAUUCCCAGCCCACCUCGGUCUGAUCAGUCACAUUCAGACGUACCAUACCUUGAUCCUAAGAGAGUGAUGUUAUUUUGGGCCUCUUUGACAAUGAAGGACAAUGUUCUGUUGAUAUUUUUAUUGUUGUUAUGUAUUUCCCAAUUACUUUUCCAUUUAGUUCAGUCUCCACUUGGGAUUGUUAUGGGCUACGACAUGGUCACUGUCUGCAUGUUAGAUGCUCCUGAUCUAGUUCAGCCCUUUUCUGUAAAAAGAAGAGAAUUGGAUCUCUAAAGCCCCCUACAACUCUAAUCUCGGGUCCCAUGAUCUUAGGGUCCCUCUUUUACAGAUGAGGAAACUGAGGCUCAGAGAAGUUAAAUGAGUUCCCCAAGGUCAAACAGGCAACAAAUGGAAGAACCAGGAUUCAACCCCAGGUCUUUUGACUCCAAAUUCAAUAUUCUUCCCACUGUGCCAUGAUACAAGAUGAACAUGAGUAUCUUUGUGUCUUUCAGACCUGUGAUUUCACCAGUGUGGAGAAUUUCCAGAUGAGGAAGCUCACUCUACCAAUGCAGGUCAGCACCUUCUCUGCAACUUAGAUUCUUAGAAAACUGCCUAGAGAAUUAAGAGGAAUGACUUUUCCAAGGUCACACAGCUAGGAUGUGUCAAAGAUGGAUCUUGAAUCCAAGUUUUUUCAAUUUUGAGACUGAGGUCUGUAGCCCCAGUCUAUGCCAUCAUGCCCCAUGUUUACUUGUCCUAGGCUUCUGCUCUUCCUGAAGAAGACUGUGGGAACCCCCCACCUGAUACAAAUGAUCUUGGAUGGGAAGGAUUGGUGGUGGAAGGAUGGGGAGGAGAAGGUACAAUAAAUAAUUAUAGUACAAGGAAAGUUGAGAAGGAAGAAAGCACUAAGUGGAAUGGAUUGAUCUUGGGGGUCACCUUCACUGACCCCCAUCUAAACUUCUGAUUUUGUAAAGGAAGUAACAACAGAUCAGAAUUAAUAUCAAAACAGGAACUGGAACCCACAAGAUCUCUUGCCUGGGUAUCUGUAGCCUAGAGAAGAGAAGACUCAGAGGACACAUGUGAUCUUGAUGUAUUCAUGUGGAAGAUUUGUUGUGAUUGGUCCCAGAAGGACAGAACCAGGGGCAACCAGUGGAGGGGGCAAAGAGUCCACUUUAGGUUCGAGGUCAAGGAGAACAAAAACCAUCCAGAUACUUAUACUGGUCCCCAUAUGAAAUGGGUUGCCCUGAGAGGUGAUGGGUUUGCCAACCUUGGAGGUCUCCGAGCAGAGCUGCACGACCACUUGAUUGCUAUGUGACGAUGGAGAUCCCUCUCAGGCAUGAGUUGGACUAGUUGGCUGCUGGUGUUCCUUCCACGGUUCGAUGAUACCAGUCCGGCAUUCUUUCAGCCUAGUUAAUUGAACAUGGCCUCUGUGAUAUGGUCAAGGCUCAUUCUGAGGCAUUCUGAACUGAGCACCAGCUCCUAUCUCAUGGCGCAAUUGGCGCAGCUGAAUGGGAAUAGAGCACCUUGGUCUCUCCCAGACAUACCGACCCCAAGAUCACUUGUAUCAGGUGGGGGGUUCCCAUAGUCUUCUUCAGGAAGAGCAGAAGCCUGAGACAAGUAAACAUGGGGCUAUCGACCUCAGACCCAGGUACUACGACUACUUUUCUUCCCUUUCCUGUUGGUCACUAAGGAAACUGGGCCGCCACAAUCAAUUGUAAGGGAAUAGACUUCAUGGGUUUUCAUUCAAAGUGGGGAUCCAGCCAGUAUGGAACAGGGGAAGGAUUCUCACCUGUGACUCAACCCUAAAUGCACCUCUAACUCGAACCUUAAAUGCACCUUCAACUCUAUCAUGUAUAAAAUGAUGGAGGUAGUCUAGAAUGAGCCAUAUGGUCUAACUAAAGGUUCUAAGCCUAGGAUAGUAUGACCUCUCCCACUUUCUAGGCCAGGCCCAAGCUCAGGGUACAGCAGAGCAAGGCUUUUGCCUUUCUACCCCUCACUAACAUGACCCCAUGAGAUGGAACCAGCUCUUACCAUCUUGCAACCACACUGCCCUACAGUAACUCCAUUUGACCACUGGUCUGCACUCUCACUUCUUCCUCAGAUGAUGAAAAGUCCUCUGAAUUUCCCACCUUGGGACAAAAUCCAGUCACCUGACUAGUUAUGGCUCUGUCUGAAACUCAAGGCUCAAGCUGGAACCCAGAGCAUCAGCACCUGUGGGCAUCUGUUUAUUCCAAGACACAUGGUUCUAGAUUGAAUGUGUUGUGUGUUAAUGCUUUGGGUUUCUUUUUGUUACUUUGGCCUUGAGGAAGUAAAAGUUUUCCCACCUUCAACCAGGCUCCAAAUCCUGAGCACCAAGGUGCCUUGGAUUCAGAGUUAAAGGAACUCAGUUCAAGUCCUCACUUUGUUCAAGAAGUUUGUUUCCUGACUUUGAAGGAAACACCUCCACGGGCCUUAGUUUCCUCCUCCAGAAAAGGACAGCAAGAGUACUUGCACUGUUUUUUCAGGGUUGUGAUGGGUAUUUUGGUUUCGUGGUUAUUCUUAAGAGAGAAAUUAGGGAAGGUGUGUGCUAAUUCCAAGCUAGGCUGGAGGCGUGGAACGAGCCCUCUUGGAGAAAGAAGCCAAAGCUUCCCAUCUGAACUCUCCCAUUAAUUUGGGGAAGUGGUUUUGUGAGUGACUCCUUUCACUGACCCAAUGGAGACUUGGGAAUGGAGUUAGGAAUAUCUUUCAUCAGGAUUCCCCUGGGGAAGCCCAUCCUUUCUUUUUGUCUAAAUCAUGAUAAUCCUGGGUACCUGCCCUGUCUGCUUCUUCAGAACACACUGGCUUAUGUGGCACAGAACCCUCCUCUUCCAGGUCUGAAACUAAUCCAAUGCCAACUGUUGGAAACCAAGGCCAAGGAGCCAUUGGCCAGAAGAGGAGGAGGGUUUCAGAAUCUUUCCAAGCCUAGACACCAGGGACUGGGAGGCUAACAGAUGCCCUCUUGGGCCCUACUGGGGCCAAAAUGCAAAUUGAGAUUCUUCUCUAAGCCGUGUCUCAGAAACCACCAGAGCCACUGGUCCAAUCAGUACAAAAUCCAGGUCGCUCCCUGCCCCCCACCACUGGAUUGACCGUUAGCUUGGGCAGUAACUCGCUGAUCAUCUGGCUGCUCAUCUGGCUGCUCAUGAUGUGUAGGGGCCAGGAGCAGAAUGGGGCUCUGCAGGAGAUGGGCCGGGAUGUGAGGAGUGCUGAGAAGGAACUUCGUGGCCUGGUAAGCACCAACACUUUAGUGCAAAUGGCAUUAUCCUAACCAGAGAGCCCCUGGCCAGGAUCUCUAUUAGAAGAAGGGAAAGAGGGAGGUUAGAAAUCAAUUGGCAAAGGACACAGGAAGGGGAGGCGAGGACUAAAAAACACACAUUUCCCCAACUUUCCAGUUUGGCCCAGGGCUGGGCAUCAGAACCUCCCAAGCCAGGAAGCCGGGUUGUCUUUCCAGCCUUCUUUUGGGACAGGUUUCUCUCCGGCCAUUCUCCAGGUAUCCCAAGAAGGGCACGUCGCCCUCCUCCGUCCUCCCACCAGGCAGGGGGGGAUUCAGCCCCUGCAGGAGAUGGAAAGAAUGAAGUGGAUCCCAAUUAGAAAAUGGAAUAUCAUUCCAUGUAAUUAAAUGGCUUUCUGGAAAUGGGUCUUUUUCUCUUCCUGUCUGGCAAUUUUGCUAAGUCUGUGCUCUCACUAACGAGGCUGACUCGCUUUUCUGCCUCCGGGCUGUCUGUAUACAAGAACGGGCUGCCAAGUAGAGACCUCAGGAAGCCUUGGGAGCCAGGGGGUAGAAGGAGCCAGCCUACUCUCUGCUACAGAGAAGAGCCCGGCCAGGAUUUGGCCUCUGCCUCUGUACCCCUCAAGUAUCACAGAAACAACUGGACUCAGCAAAUGGUUUGCAAGUCUAUGGGGAGGGCCUGGGUCUGUGAUUUCACUUGCUAUAAAGGACUACCAGGGGAGAAAACUCUCUCUACCAAAGCAGGUUGGGAAAUUCUCAGCAACUUGGAGAUCAGGGAGCUUCCUAGAUAUGAGUUCUACCAGAUGGGGUCUUCUUCUCACUGGUGACUCAUCCCUGCUUGGCCCCCGCCAUGUUCCCUCUCUCAGACAGUCUCCCUCUCCUGCCAUUCCGGUGUCUUCACCCAUGGGCUCAGAGGUCCCAGGGGCUGUUUCUCUUCCACAGUAUGUUACCUUGAAUUCAUGAGACCAUGUAUCCGUCCCUAAAAAACUGAAUUUGUUUAAAAACAAAACAGAACACCUGAAAUGAAGGCAUUGGUAGUCCUUGUGACCCAAAAUCGUUAGGUAUAGCUCUGCAGAGGAGACAAGUCAGAACAAACUUAGAUCAUGUGUCCCAAGGGGGUAUGUGAUUCCAAGCAUGGCAGGUGAUCAUUCUGGGAGGGGCAGGGGAACAGAGGGGCUUUCUUUGUCAAGUAACAGGGUCUGUUGAGCACUCAGACGCCAAUUGGAAAAAGAGGAAGCCCAACCCUGGGGGGAGGGAUUUCUCAACUGGUGAAAGCAAGACUUCUGGAUGCCAAAAUAGUAUCAAUGACUACUCACAUCACAAACCUAGAGCUGGAAGGAACAAAAGAGGCCACUGAGUCCAAGCUCCUUAUUUUAUAGUUGAGGGAACUGAGAACCAAAGAGAGGAAGUGAUUUGCCCGAGGUCCCACAGGUAAUAAGUAGUACAACGAGUCUCUUUGAGACAAAAAUGCACUUUAUAAAUUAUAGCAGUAAAUUAUGCUAAAAUACAUUUUCACAGUACUUUAUGGGGAAAAAAGCUAUAGGAUUUAGAGCUGUAUGUGAUUUUAGAGGUCAUCUCUUUUAUUAUAUAGAGGAGGAAACUGGGUUCCAGAGAUCUUAAGUCACUUGGGCAAGGUCACUCAGGCAGUGAAAUUGCAAUCCAAAUCCUCAUUCCAAAUCUCCUACUUUUGCCACAAGGCUACGCGGA